RNAcentral lists this unclassified non-coding RNA (1517 nucleotides) under Hevea brasiliensis (rubber tree). Lineage: Eukaryota; Viridiplantae; Streptophyta; Magnoliopsida; Malpighiales; Euphorbiaceae. The record is from RNAcentral.
CCAAGAAGGCCAUUUACAGAAACAGAUAACUGAGUUUUCUGCUUGGGUUUUGUUUUAGAUUUCCUUUCCCCCUUAACAUUAGACAAUGCUGGCCGACCAAUUUUAUUUGAUCCAUUUCUAGAUAAAACCUCUGUGUUGUGCCCUUUUCCCUCCCUAUCUCUCUCACUCCUCUUUCCUUUUGUACUGCUUGAUACUAGAGACCCCCCAAUUCCUGAGGGGGUACCUAUGGCACCACCAACAUCAUCAAGUAACAAUUCCCUCUUCUUCACCUUGUUUGACCAUGUGUCUUCUUUACCAGCAGAUUGUUCAGAUAAAAGGUUUACAGGUGGGAGCAAAUCAGAUGAAUUAGCAACAUAGCCAUCUCCAUUUUGACUCAACCGAGAAGUUUGAGGACUUGGCUGUGAACCCAUAGAAGCUGAAACUCUAGCUUCCACAGGGCGGCUUGAGGCAUUGGCAUACAGUUUCCCAGAUUCCUCAUCCACAGGAGUACUCAAUAAUCUUCCACCAUGCAGGUAGGAAGACCUAGAAAGAAACAUAUCCCUAAAUAGGGGUUCAUUGAAGCAGCUUUUGCCUGUAUGUUCAAAUUUAUGACAUCGUUCUAAUGUCCUUUUGACAAAAGCUAAGGCAGCUUGCUUAGCCAUUUUGUUAUUGGAACUUUCCCACCAGUGGCACUAGGACCUCGAAAAGCCAUAUACUUUUCAUAAGCCAUUGUAACAAGUUUGUCUUGAGCACGUUGCUCAAAUUCCUUUUCCUGAAGUUCUUUUGUUUCUGAGGCAGAUUUCAACAGUUUAUCUAGCAAACCUUUCUUCUUUGUAACCUGGCCAUGGUACUUGUCCUCUAAGCUCAUGAUCUCCCCAAUCAUUCCUUCAUCCUCCAUCUGCAAAUCAGGCAUUGUUUCUGGAAAAAUUCCAAUACUUUGAACCUCCAGAAGGAGAUUUUCAUUCAUCUGCAUAUCAUCAUACUGAAAUUCUGAACAGGCCAUGCUCGGAAUCAAUGCCUGGUCAGAAAGAAUGCCAUUUACAGAGUGACUGAAGUUUGAAUAUAAGCCUGUGUUUGGGAUGCCCAAUGGAUCUACCUCUGCCUCAUCAUGUUCUGUCUUCCUAGUCACUUUAUAACCAUUAAAUACAGUAUGUCCAGAAAAAUUAAAGUUAACUGCAUGACUCAAGCCAUUUGAUCCCAACUCUCCGUCCAGCUCAAAUCCAGUUUCAUAUGUAUCAAAUUCAAAGUCCCUAUUUCCAUGGGUACAAUCUUCCUCCGGAAUUAUAGCUGCUAAGAGUCUUUGACAAAGGGGAAUGUCUCUUGCUCCUGGCACUAACAGUUCACAAACCCUUGAUUCAGUAGAAAGUCCCACUUCUCCCACAUGUUCAAUCAACCCAUAUCCAUUAAGGACAGUUUUGCAGUUAUUUACAUCAGAUGAAACCCUAAUGGGUGAUGCUGCAGUAGAUUCAAUACUUCCCUGUUUCUUCAAGUGAACAAUGUCUGUGUCAGAUAUAAAACCAAAGAAUGGCUCCAUUUGC